This 94-nucleotide non-coding RNA is filed under the name Citricoccus sp. K5. RNAcentral describes it as "TPP". It matches the Rfam family "TPP riboswitch aptamer (THI element)". From Rfam's summary of the family: Vitamin B(1) in its active form thiamin pyrophosphate (TPP) is an essential coenzyme that is synthesised by coupling of pyrimidine and thiazole moieties in bacteria. The previously detected thiamin-regulatory element, thi box was extended, resulting in a new, highly conserved RNA secondary structure, the THI element, which is widely distributed in eubacteria and also occurs in some archaea. Analysis of operon structures identified a large number of new candidate thiamin-regulated genes, mostly transporters, in various prokaryotic organisms. The record is from RNAcentral. Lineage: Bacteria; Bacillati; Actinomycetota; Actinomycetes; Micrococcales; Micrococcaceae.
CCACGUGACACGGGGUGCCCCGCGAGGGGCUGAGAGAACACCCGUCGAACCUGAUCUAGUUCGUACUAGCGAAGGGAUGUCGCGCCUAUGCCGC